This 244-nucleotide ribosomal RNA is filed under the name uncultured bacterium. RNAcentral's name for it is "partial 16S ribosomal RNA". It matches the Rfam family "Bacterial small subunit ribosomal RNA", at positions 89 to 334 of the family's 1533-position model. The record is from RNAcentral.
UGGCGACCGGCGCACGGGUGAGUAACACGUAUCCAACCUGCCGAUGACUCGGGAAUAGCCUUUCGAAAGAAAGAUUAAUACCCGAUGGCAUAGUUCUUCCGCAUGGUAGAACUAUUAAAGAAUUUCGGCCAUCGAUGGGGAUGCGUUCCAUUAGGUUGUUGGCGGGGUAACGGCCCACCAAGCCUUCGAUGGAUAGGGGUUCUGAGAGGAAGGUCCCCCACAUUGGAACUGAGACACGGUCCAA